GAUGAAGAACGCAGUGAAAUGCGAUAAGUAGUGUGAAUUGCAGAAUUCAGUGAAUCAUCGAAUCUUUGAACGCACAUUGCGCCCCUUGGUAUUCCAUGGGGCAUGCCUGUUCGAGCGUCAUUUGUACCCUCAAGCUUUGCUUGGUGUUGGGCGUCUUGUCGUAUUACGACUCGCCUUAAAUACAUUGGCAGCCGGCACUUUGGCCUAGGAGCGCAGCACAUUUUGCGAUCGUAGCCCGUUGUACUGGCGUCCAUCAAGAACAUUUACCACGUUUGACCUCGGAUCAGGUAGGGAUACCCGCUGAACUUAAGCAUAUCAAUAAGCGGAGGA
This 330-nucleotide unclassified non-coding RNA is filed under the name soil metagenome. Its description in RNAcentral is "partial contains 5.8S ribosomal RNA, internal transcribed spacer 2, and large subunit ribosomal RNA". The stretch from base 1 to 120 matches the Rfam family "5.8S ribosomal RNA", at positions 35 to 154 of the family's 154-position model. The record is from RNAcentral.